This is a non-coding RNA of Xylariaceae sp. FL0804, 93 nucleotides long. The record is from the annotation of a GenBank genome assembly. Lineage: Eukaryota; Fungi; Ascomycota; Sordariomycetes; Xylariales; Xylariaceae.
ACCAUCAUAGUCCAGUGGUUAGGAUGUCAGAUUUUCAAUGCCCCCAGGUGCACAGACUCUCUGAAGACCGGGGUUCGAACCCCCGUGAUGGUA